GUGUGCUGAAAGUCUGUAGAGAAGUCAUUUGGUCAGUGAACCUGGCUGCCAGCACCCUGCUUCCAGAAGGUAGUCCAGGGCAUAAGAAGAGCCCUAAUGCAGCAGCCUCCAAUGAGUCUGUAGCUGGCACAUUUACUGGUGAGAUGCGGUGUGGGUCUUAUUCUGGGCAGUGAAAUACAGAGACUGAUUUUUCUCAAGAUUUCUUGUCUGGACGUUGGAAAUAACACUUGAAUCUGAGCUGCUUUCUGGUGACCCAGGAAAAACAACUCAGCGGAUCCAUGGAGUGCUGUAGUACAAGCAGGCAUCAGCAUUUAAAGAUAUUGCAAUUAGCGGGGAGAGAAUUGU
Molecule: long non-coding RNA, 345 nt
Organism: Lagopus leucura (white-tailed ptarmigan)
Lineage: Eukaryota; Metazoa; Chordata; Aves; Galliformes; Phasianidae
Exons: 3
Source: RefSeq, a predicted model, not a curated record